This 73-nucleotide transfer RNA is filed under the name Perca fluviatilis (European perch). It matches the Rfam family "tRNA". From Rfam's summary of the family: Transfer RNA (tRNA) molecules are approximately 80 nucleotides in length. Lineage: Eukaryota; Metazoa; Chordata; Actinopteri; Perciformes; Percidae. The record is from Rfam by way of RNAcentral.
ACCUGGAUAGCUCAGUUGGUAGAGCAUCAGACUUGUAAUCUGAUGGUACAAUGUUCAAGUCCCUGUUCAGGUG